CCUACGGGAGGCAGCAGUGAGGAAUAUUGGUCAAUGGACGAGAGUCUGAACCAGCCACGUAGCGUGAAGGAUGACUGCCCUAUGGGUUGUAAACUUCUUUUAUAUGGGAAUAAAAUGUUCCACGUGUGGGAUUUUGUAUGUACCAUAUGAAUACGGAUCGGCUAACUCCGUGCCAGCAGCCGCGGUAAUACGGAGGAUCCGAGCGUUAUCCGGAUUUAUUGGGUUUAAAGGGAGCGUAGGUGGAUUGUUAAGUCAGUUGUGAAAGUUUGCGGCUCAACCGUAAAAUUGCAGUUGAAACUGGCAGUCGUGAGUACAGUAGAGGUGGGCGGAAUUCGUGGUGUAGCGGUGAAAUGCUUAGAUAUCACGAAGAACUCCGAUUGCGAAGGCAGCUCACUGGACUGCAACUGACACUGAGGCUCGAAAGUGUGGGUAUCAAACAGGAUUAGAUACCCCAGUAGUC
RNAcentral lists this ribosomal RNA (460 nucleotides) under uncultured bacterium. RNAcentral's name for it is "partial 16S ribosomal RNA". It matches the Rfam family "Bacterial small subunit ribosomal RNA", at positions 338 to 795 of the family's 1533-position model. The record is from RNAcentral.